Molecule: ribosomal RNA, 360 nt
Filed under: Blaste sp. KY293
Lineage: Eukaryota; Metazoa; Arthropoda; Insecta; Psocodea; Psocidae
Description: partial 12S ribosomal RNA
Source: RNAcentral
CCCUAUUAUAUUUAAUGUAAUUUGAACUUUGAGUAGUAUAUGAUUCGUUCAGGAAACUUAAAGAAUUUGGCGGUGUAUAUUCUUAUUAGAGGAAUAUGAUUUUUAAUUGAUACUCCACAAUUAUCUUACUUGAAAUUAUUUAUUUUGUAUAUCUCCGUCUUAAAAAGAUUUUUAAAAGAUAUUUUUUAUUUUCAUAUAAUGAAACAAGUCAGGUCAAGGUGCAGAUUAUAUUCAAGUUAAAUUGUAUUACAAUAAAUUUAUUUUUGGAUAUAUUAUGAAAAUUAUAUUGAAAUUGGAUUUAUUAGUAAAUAUUUAUUUUAUUAUAAUGAAUUGAAUUGUGUUAAUAUACAUGUACACAUC